This 253-nucleotide unclassified non-coding RNA is filed under the name uncultured Halomonadaceae bacterium. RNAcentral's name for it is "contains 16S-23S intergenic spacer region". It matches the Rfam family "Bacterial small subunit ribosomal RNA", at positions 524 to 776 of the family's 1533-position model. The record is from RNAcentral. Lineage: Bacteria; Pseudomonadati; Pseudomonadota; Gammaproteobacteria; Oceanospirillales; Halomonadaceae.
UACGGAGGGUGUGCGCGUUAAUCGGAAUUACUGGGCGUAAAGCGCGCGUAGGCCGCGUGAUAAGCCGGUAGUGAAAGCCCCGGGCUCAACCUGGGAACGGCAUCCGGAACUUUCACGCUAGAGUGCAGGAGAGGAAGGUAGAAUUCCCGGUGUAGCGGUGAAAUGCGUAGAGAUCGGGAGGAAUACCAGUGGCGAAGGCGGACUUCUGGACUGACACUGACGCUGAGGUGCGAAAGCGUGGGUAGCAAACCGU